UGUUGAUUUCAAAUUACUUAC
This 21-nucleotide non-coding RNA is filed under the name Caenorhabditis elegans. Lineage: Eukaryota; Metazoa; Nematoda; Chromadorea; Rhabditida; Rhabditidae. The record is from RNAcentral.